Molecule: ribosomal RNA, 497 nt
Filed under: uncultured bacterium
Lineage: Bacteria
Description: partial 16S ribosomal RNA
Rfam family: Bacterial small subunit ribosomal RNA
Source: RNAcentral
GAUGAACGCUGGCGGCGUGCCUAAUACAUGCAAGUCGAGCGAACGGACGAGAAGCUUGCUUCUCUGAUGUUAGCGGCGGACGGGUGAGUAACACGUGGAUAACCUACCUAUAAGACUGGGAUAACUUCGGGAAACCGGAGCUAAUACCGGAUAAUAUUUUGAACCGCAUGGUUCAAAAGUGAAAGACGGUCUUGCUGUCACUUAUAGAUGGAUCCGCGCUGCAUUAGCUAGUUGGUAAGGUAACGGCUUACCAAGGCAACGAUGCAUAGCCGACCUGAGAGGGGGAUCGGCCACACUGGAACUGAGACACGGUCCAGACUCCUACGGGAGGCAGCAGUAGGGAAUCUUCCGCAAUGGGCGAAAGCCUGACGGAGCAACGCCGCGUGAGUGAUGAAGGUCUUCGGAUCGUAAAACUCUGUUAUUAGGGAAGAACAUAUGUGUAAGUAACUGUGCACAGCUUGACGGUACCUAAUCAGAAAGCCACGGCUAACAACGUG